RNAcentral lists this ribosomal RNA (589 nucleotides) under uncultured fungus. RNAcentral's name for it is "eukaryotic LSU rRNA". It matches the Rfam family "Eukaryotic large subunit ribosomal RNA", at positions 38 to 648 of the family's 3401-position model. The record is from RNAcentral. Lineage: Eukaryota; Fungi.
UCAUAUCAAUUAAGCGGAGGAAAAGAAACCAACAGGGAUUGCCCUAGUAACGGCGAGUGAAGCGGCAACAGCUCAAAUUUGAAAUCUGGCCGCAAGGUCCGAGUUGUAAUUUGUAGAGGAUGCUUUUGGCGAGGUGACUUCCGAGUUCCCUGGAACGGGACGCCAUAGAGGGUGAGAGCCCCGUACGGUAGUGACACCGAGCCUCUGUAAAGCUCCUUCGACGAGUCGAGUAGUUUGGGAAUGCUGCUCUAAAUGGGAGGUGUAAGUCUUCUAAAGCUAAAUACCGGCCAGAGACCGAUAGCGCACAAGUAGAGUGAUCGAAAGAUGAAAAGCACUUUGAAAAGAGAGUUAAAAAGUACGUGAAAUUGUUGAAAGGGAAGCAUUUAUGACCAGACUUGGGCUUGGUUGAACAUCCGGCGUUCUCGCCGGUGCACUCUGCCAGCCUAGGCCAGCAUCAGUUCACGCCGGGGGACAAAGGUAGCGGGAAUGUGACUCCCUCCGGGGAGUGUUAUAGCCCGUUGCGCAAUGCCCUGGGGUGGACUGAGGAACGCGCUUCGGCACGGAUGCUGGCGUAAUGGUCAUCAAUGAC